This 713-nucleotide long non-coding RNA is filed under the name Hordeum vulgare. RNAcentral's name for it is "long non-coding RNA (HVUL_LNC020875)". Lineage: Eukaryota; Viridiplantae; Streptophyta; Magnoliopsida; Poales; Poaceae. The record is from RNAcentral.
UGAUCCGACUGUAUAUGCUUCCAAGUUCACAGUACCAACCUAUGCUCCAUGUUUACAAAUGUUUCAAACUAUACUAAGAGCAAGUACAAUAGAAUAGUCAGCUGCUGGUUAUAAGCCAUGGCAAUCAGUUGCUAGUUAUAAGCCAUUGCCAUGUCAUCUAUAGUGAGCACGUUCUAUAGCUGGCUCUUAACUAAGAUCCCGCUUACCUUCUCUCUCCUCUUCUCUUUCCUCUAACUAAACAAAAAUAUAUUAGUUUACGGUGAUCCAAUUGUAUUAAUAUCUGCUAUGAUCCCAAUGUACCAACCUAUGGUAAGUAUACAUAUAGGAUUAAUUAGGCUGUGCUCUCCUGAGACGAAACCACGGAUGGGGGAGAGAUAGCCACAAAGAGAAGCUCAACCACCUAGCCAUAAAGUGCAUCCUGUACUAGUCGGAAUCUGUUGCUCUGUAAUGACGAUGACACAGAGCAGUUUCAUAUAAGAGUUGCAACCAUUUCAAGAAAAUGUUUGGCAAUCAUUCAGGUCAAGCUGGACCCCAAAUUAGUUUUUUGCAAAACAGUAUAUCCCGGAGGUAGCCCGUUUGGCUUACGUUUUAGCAAAGCUGAAUUUUCUGAAGUAGAGCAUUCCCAAACAGGCUCUAAGAAUGUGCCAAUUUACAAAGAACUUUUAACUUUGUCAACCAAAAAACUAGCAUACAACAGGGGUAAGCCAAAGNNN